Molecule: transfer RNA, 69 nt
Filed under: Marmota monax (woodchuck)
Lineage: Eukaryota; Metazoa; Chordata; Mammalia; Rodentia; Sciuridae
Description: tRNA.Thr
Source: RNAcentral
GGAUGUAGUUCAGUGGUAGAGCACUUGCCUAGUAUACAUGAGGCCCUGUGUUCAAUGCCCAGUUAUACA